UGGGGAAUAUUGGACAAUGGGCGCAAGCCUGAUCCAGCCAUGCCGCGUGAGUGAUGAAGGCCCUAGGGUUGCAAAGCUCUUUCACCGGUGAAGAUAAUGACGGUAACCGGAGAAGAAGCCCCGGCUAACUUCGUGCCAGCAGCCGCGGUAAUACGAAGGGGGCUAGCGUUGUUCGGAUUUACUGGGCGUAAAGCGCACGUAGGCGGAUUUUUAAGUCAGGGGUGAAAUCCCGGGGCUCAACCCCGGAACUGCCUUUGAUACUGGAAGUCUUGAGUAUGGUAGAGGUGAGUGGAAUUCCGAGUGUAGAGGUGAAAUUCGUAGAUAUUCGGAGGAACACCAGUGGCGAAGGCGGCUCACUGGACCAUUACUGACGCUGAGGUGCGAAAGCGUGGGGAGCAAACA
RNAcentral lists this ribosomal RNA (402 nucleotides) under uncultured bacterium. Its description in RNAcentral is "bacterial SSU rRNA". It matches the Rfam family "Bacterial small subunit ribosomal RNA", at positions 355 to 774 of the family's 1533-position model. The record is from RNAcentral.